Raphanus sativus (radish) is the source of this 259-nucleotide long non-coding RNA. RefSeq lists it as uncharacterized. The transcript is spliced from 2 exons. NCBI's taxonomy places the organism in Eukaryota, Viridiplantae, Streptophyta, Magnoliopsida, Brassicales, Brassicaceae. The record is from RefSeq and is a predicted model, not a curated record.
UGGUCCAGAUUAAUAUUUUUGUGUUUCUUCCUCCCUCAUCUUUCUUCUCUGUCUCUUUCUCUCUCACACGAUUACAAGUCUCUUCUCUUCUCCUUACUUCCAUAUCUUCUCUGUCUAUUCCUUCUCUUGACCUGUCUUCUUGCUCGACGCCACCUGCAGGGCUUCUCGGCGGAGUGGUAGAAGAGGUAGAGGAGAUUGAUGGAGGAGGACAGGUGGUGGUGGCUCGUAACUCAUGAGCAGAACCGGCUUGAAGGUUGAA